UUUGUGCCUCAUUUAACUUAUAAUAAAAAAUUUAUUUCUUUCUCAUCUUUCCAGAAAAAAUGAAAACACAGACACAGCAGCCACAACAACUCUUCAUCAUCCGAGUAUUUUCAUUAAAAUAUUUGUCACUCUUUUUUUUGUAGAGUUCGAGGUAAAAUCACGGAUUUACAGCCCUCCCUAGAAUUUAUUAGAUUCUUUGUGGGAUUCGACGAAAAAAAUUUGAAAUUGGUAUUUCAAAGUUUUAUUGAGCUCUUAUUUCAAAGAUAAAUUGACCAGAUAAUUGAAAGUUGAAGUUCGUACCAAUUGAGUUGCAGUAAUUUGUUUUUCAAUGAAGGAUCUUGUUAUAGCUUGGAGUGAACCGAUUUGCAGUAUUUAUCAAAAUCAAAAAAAUUUCUGGAUUACGAGAAAUUUAUUUGAUUCGACAUGAGAAAGUAGAGAGAGACUCAUUCAUAACUUUAGAACGGGAUAACUCAGUAAUAAGUUCUUCGUCUUCUCAUUCAGGUUUUGCAUUAUUUGCAAAUGAUCAAUAUUUAUUCGAUGGAGGAGGACUGCGGAAGGAAGUGAUAUGAAAGUUUAUUUUGUACUAAGAUUUUCUUUAAUCUCUACAAACUCAGGGGAUCGAAGGGGGAAAACAAAGUCACGCAGAACAGAGAACUUCCCAAAAUCAUCACGUCUUCAAGAAUAACAAUAGCCUCAUCCCACAGAAACACAAAAUUGUUAGUCUCGUAGCACCACUUUUCUACCAACCCAAAAAUAAUCUUUUGAUAUGUCUGGACUCUAUAAACUAAAUUCUUGAUAGCUCUAUAAAUCCCUGCAUCUUUCCAUAUAACCUCAAUCAUUUCAAUCCAUUCUUUCCAUUUCAUUUUUGAUCCCUCCAUCCAUUGCAACCAUGAAAGGGGAAUUCCAACGACCACUCAGAUUCGGAUGGAAAAGGAAUUGAAGGAGGCUUCAAAUUUGUUCUUUCUUUCGAAGCAUCAAUUGGAUUUAAGAAAUAGGAAUUUCUGUGUUGUGGGAUUCAACCAAGUUGUGAAACCAACAUCUUGUCUGUUUCAUUCAUGUUUGGAUCUUCGGUUAAUUCUUUAAAAUGCAUAAUUCACCUUGUUUUAGAAAAAGCAAAGAGUGAAUUUGAUUCUUUUAGAAAAAUAAAAAGUAACUCUUGUGUGUUUUUCUU
Long non-coding RNA from Solanum pennellii, 1171 nucleotides. RefSeq lists it as uncharacterized. The transcript is spliced from 3 exons. The record is from RefSeq and is a predicted model, not a curated record. Lineage: Eukaryota; Viridiplantae; Streptophyta; Magnoliopsida; Solanales; Solanaceae.